AACGAACGCUGGCGGCAUGCCUAACACAUGCAAGUCGAACGAGACCUUCGGGUCUAGUGGCGCACGGGUGCGUAACGCGUGGGAACCUGCCCUUAGGUUCGGAAUAACUCCCCGAAAGGGGUGCUAAUACCGGAUAAUGUCUUCGGACCAAAGAUUUAUCGCCUUUGGAUGGGCCCGCGUUGGAUUAGCUAGUUGGUAGGGUAAAAGCCUACCAAGGCGACGAUCCAUAGCUGGUCUGAGAGGAUGAUCAGCCACACUGGGACUGAGACACGGCACAGACUCCUACGGGAGGAAGCAGUGGGGAAUAUUGGACAAUGGGCGAAAGCCUGAUCCAGCAAUGCCGCGUGAGUGAUGAAGGCCUUAGGGUUGUAAAGCUCUUUUACCCGGGAUGAUAAUGACAGUACCGGGAGAAUAAGCUCCGGCUAACUCCGUG
Molecule: ribosomal RNA, 433 nt
Filed under: uncultured bacterium
Lineage: Bacteria
Description: partial 16S ribosomal RNA
Rfam family: Bacterial small subunit ribosomal RNA
Source: RNAcentral